RNAcentral lists this ribosomal RNA (378 nucleotides) under uncultured bacterium. RNAcentral's name for it is "bacterial SSU rRNA". It matches the Rfam family "Bacterial small subunit ribosomal RNA", at positions 790 to 1167 of the family's 1533-position model. The record is from RNAcentral.
GUAGUCCACGCUGUAAACGAUGACAACUAGUUAUUGUGGGUUUAACCCCUGCAGUAACAAAGCUAACGCAUUAAGUUGUCCGCCUGGGGAGUACGGUCGCAAGAUUAAAACUCAAAGGAAUUGACGGGGGCCCGCACAAGCGGUGGAUUAUGUGGUUUAAUUCGAAGCAACGCGCAGAACCUUACCUGGGCUUGAACUCCCACGAAGUCGGUAGAGAUACUGAUGUGCCCGCAAGGGAAUGUGGUGAGAGGCGCUGCAUGGCUGUCGUCAGCUCGUGUUGUGAAAUGUUGGGUUAAGUCUCGCAACGAGCGCAACCCCUAUCCUUAGUUGCCAGCAUUAAGUUGGGCACUCUAGGGAGACUGCCUGGGUUAACCAGGA